This 253-nucleotide ribosomal RNA is filed under the name uncultured bacterium. RNAcentral's name for it is "partial 16S ribosomal RNA". It matches the Rfam family "Bacterial small subunit ribosomal RNA", at positions 524 to 776 of the family's 1533-position model. The record is from RNAcentral.
UACGAAGGGGGCUAGCGUUGUUCGGAAUCACUGGGCGUAAAGCGCACGCAGGCGGAUUGAUAAGUCGGGGGUGAAAUCCCGGGGCUCAACCUCGGAAUUGCCUUCGAUACUGUCUGUCUUGAGUCCGGGAGAGGUGAGUGGAAUUCCUAGUGUAGAGGUGAAAUUCGUAGAUAUUAGGAAGAACACCAGUGGCGAAGGCGGCUCACUGGCCCGGUACUGACGCUGAGGAGCGAAAGCGUGGGGAGCAAACAGG